AACUUUAUAGUCAAAAAUGAUAUUAGAUUGCAAAUCUAAAGGAAUAAAUUUAUUUAUUUAAGUUU
RNAcentral lists this transfer RNA (65 nucleotides) under Polypedilum vanderplanki (sleeping chironomid). RNAcentral's name for it is "tRNA-Cys". It matches the Rfam family "tRNA". Rfam says of the family: Transfer RNA (tRNA) molecules are approximately 80 nucleotides in length. The record is from RNAcentral. Lineage: Eukaryota; Metazoa; Arthropoda; Insecta; Diptera; Chironomidae.